RNAcentral lists this long non-coding RNA (234 nucleotides) under Phoenix dactylifera (date palm). RNAcentral's name for it is "long non-coding RNA (PDAC_LNC013341)". Lineage: Eukaryota; Viridiplantae; Streptophyta; Magnoliopsida; Arecales; Arecaceae. The record is from RNAcentral.
AGAUUACAAUAUCAUUCCUGUUACAAUCUCAAAUGAUUAUAAACCAAGGCUCUGAUAGUUUUCCUAUCAUAAUUUCCCACUCACACUUACCUGAACCUAAACCUUAGGAUACCUUAACCUGGCUCUGAUACCACUCUGUCACGCCCCGAACCCAGCACCCGGGUCCGGCACGCGAUCGGCCGCAUGAGCCCUAGAGCAGUGCCCUAAAGAUCAUGCAAGACCUAAGAUAAACAA